GUGUCAGCCGCCGCGGUAAUACGUAGGGGGCAAGCGUUGUCCGGAAUCAUUGGGCGUAAAGAGCGUGUAGGCGGCUCGGUAAGUCCGCUGUGAAAGUCCAGGGCUCAACCCUGGAAUGCCGGUGGAAACUGUCGAGCUAGAGUCCGGAAGAGGCGAGUGGAAUUCCUGGUGUAGCGGUGAAAUGCGCAGAUAUCAGGAGGAACACCAAUGGCGAAGGCAGCUCGCUGGGACGGUACUGACGCUGAGACGCGAAAGCGUGGGGAGCAAACAGGAUUAGAUACCCUGGUAGUCCACGCCGUAAACGAUGGGCACUAGGUGUGGGGGGUGUCGACUCCCUCCGUGCCGACGCUAACGCAUUAAGUGCCCCGCCUGGGGAGUACGGCCGCAAGGCUAAA
RNAcentral lists this ribosomal RNA (395 nucleotides) under uncultured bacterium. RNAcentral's name for it is "bacterial SSU rRNA". It matches the Rfam family "Bacterial small subunit ribosomal RNA", at positions 505 to 898 of the family's 1533-position model. The record is from RNAcentral.